UCAGAUUCAUGAAGUUUUACUCAACUUCCAGGGCAUACCAAGUUGUGCUCAACAAGUCGGCGCCCGCGAGUGUGGCUAUUACGUUAUGAAGUUCAUGCAUGAAAUAGUCACGUUACACCAUAACUCUGAUGAGCGGUUAGAUAAUGCUUACACUCCAAGAAAUGCGCCUUAUACCGAUGAGGAAAUAGAUGUGGUUCGUGAGCAAUGGGCUAAGUUUUUUACAACCGAGUAUUUAUUUACUUAGGUUGUUUAGACACAAAGAUGGAAGCGUUUAUAUCUUCAUGGAUUUGGUAAAGUUCUUUAAUUUUUCCAUAAUUACAAGUCUGCUGGAUUUGCUAAUUUAUUGCUUUGAAUACUAAUCUGCUGGUCUUGCU
Spinacia oleracea (spinach) is the source of this 374-nucleotide long non-coding RNA. RefSeq lists it as uncharacterized. The record is from RefSeq and is a predicted model, not a curated record. The transcript is spliced from 3 exons. NCBI's taxonomy places the organism in Eukaryota, Viridiplantae, Streptophyta, Magnoliopsida, Caryophyllales, Amaranthaceae.